This 310-nucleotide long non-coding RNA is filed under the name Prunus persica (peach). Its description in RNAcentral is "long non-coding RNA (PPER_LNC007171)". Lineage: Eukaryota; Viridiplantae; Streptophyta; Magnoliopsida; Rosales; Rosaceae. The record is from RNAcentral.
UGAAACCUAGAUUGGAAAAUCGAACGAUCUACGCUUGGAAUUUCUGAAAUUCUACCUAACCAACAGCUAGAGCAUGGAAAAUAGCUAGAAAACCAUACCUCACUCGUUCGAUUUGGUGGCCGGAUGAAGGAGAACGAAACCUUUGAAGUUCUGUCAACUCCGGCGUGAUUCCAAGCUUUUUCCGGCGAAAAACAGAGGUUUCAAGGGCAGGGACCAGUCGGGAAAGGAAGAGGAAGCGGCGGUGGUUCAAUUGGGUCCGGUCCUGUCAGUUUGAGUGGAGUGUGGCGGUGGUUAUGGAGGUUUGAAGGUG